GAUGCUAAAUUUUUAUUUAACUAUAUUUAUUUAAAACGAAUUAAAAUUUAAAUAUUAUUUAAAUAAUAAUACAUAAUAAAAUAUUUUUAUAUAAAUUAAAAUUAGCACAAUAAAAUAUAAAAUAACUAAAUUAUGAAUGUGAAAUUUUGAAUAAAAUCAUUAGAUUCUUGAAUAACUGUGCUAGAUAUGUGGAUAAAAUUAUUUCGAAUAUCAAUCAUUAAAUUUUUAGACAACUGUGCUAAAUACGAC
This 249-nucleotide long non-coding RNA is filed under the name Ananas comosus (pineapple). Its description in RNAcentral is "long non-coding RNA (ACOM_LNC036673)". The record is from RNAcentral. Lineage: Eukaryota; Viridiplantae; Streptophyta; Magnoliopsida; Poales; Bromeliaceae.